GAUGUAGAACGUAGCGAAAUGCGAUAAGUAAUGUGAAUUGCAGAAUUCAGUGAAUCAUCGAAUCUUUGAACGCACAUUGCGCCCGCUAGUAUUCUGGCGGGCAUGCCUGUCCGAGCGUCAUUUCAACCCUCAAGCCCCCGGGCUUGGUGUUGGGGAUCGGCGAGCCUCCGCGCCCGCCGUCCCCUAAAUCUAGUGGCGGUCACGCUGUAGCUUCCUCUGCGUAGUAGCACACCUCGCACUGGGAAACAGCGCGGCCACGCCGUUAAACCCCCAACUUCUGAACGUUUGACCUCGGAUCAGGUAGGAAUACCCGCUGAACUUAAGCAUAUCAAUAAGCGGAGGA
This 343-nucleotide unclassified non-coding RNA is filed under the name soil metagenome. RNAcentral describes it as "partial contains 5.8S ribosomal RNA, internal transcribed spacer 2, and large subunit ribosomal RNA". The stretch from base 1 to 120 matches the Rfam family "5.8S ribosomal RNA", at positions 35 to 154 of the family's 154-position model. The record is from RNAcentral.